Molecule: long non-coding RNA, 7960 nt
Organism: Beta vulgaris subsp. vulgaris (sugar beet)
Lineage: Eukaryota; Viridiplantae; Streptophyta; Magnoliopsida; Caryophyllales; Amaranthaceae
Exons: 3
Source: RefSeq, a predicted model, not a curated record
UCAAUUAAAUCAUUUUAUUAUUUCUUAAAUUGAUUUAUGGAUACUUUUGUCCAUGUUGUCCAUCCAUUAGUAAUCCAAGCCCAAACAUUAGUCCAAGUCCAUGUGUCUUUUACCAAAAAGAAAAACUAAAAUAAAACAAAAAAAAAAAGGAAAAAGAAAAAGAAAAAAGAUGAACGUGCAUCAUCUUCUUCCCUCCUCCCUUUCUUCUUCUUUCGCCUGAUUUGCAACAGCUCAAAAGGAGCAGAUUUUUGUCAACAUUCAACCCUUGUCAGUAGGAAAAAUUAAUUCAGUCCACAAAAUCAGAUAUUGAGUAAAUAUUUGCAAAGACCCAACUCUCUCUCUUCACUCCCUCCAUUAAUGGAGAAAUUGACCAAGCUUGUCAAACCAGAAAAUCUUGCCUAUAAAUAGAGAGCCAAACUCAUCAAAAUUCUCAGGCAAACAACUUCAAAGGUUUGCUUCAACUCAAUUCCUUUCCCUUGAAUUUCUGAUUUUUGAUUUUGAAAGUGAAAAUUGAAAUUUUGAGAACCACCAUUAACACCACCUUCAACCCAACCUCCUCUACUUCUUUUCGCCUGACCGCACCACCUGCACGACCGCCUUCACCACCACCCGAAACCACCAGUCAAACCCGGCCACCAAUUCGCACCACCAAAACCGCCAACCACUCUUCGCAGCCUGCUGCUGCGUCACACCUCCGCGCCCAGCCGUGAAACCCACCACCUGACCUCCGAUAUGCCUGACCAUUUCCGUCGCCUGAGUUGGUCGUGCGCCGGCCAAGACCAAAACCAGCACCAAAAAAAUUCCUUCGCCUCCCUGUUUCCCCCUUCUUUCGCCCUCUCUGCUUCGUUCCUCUGUUUGAGGAACUGAGAUUUUAAAUCUCCUUUCCCCUCUUUUGUUUUCUCUUUUACUUACUUAAGUUUAAUUGGUUUUAAUUAGUUUGUUCACUUUUAUUUUUAAUAAGUUCGUAAAUUAUAUAUACCAAAUUAAAUAAAGAAAAGAAUUUAAUAAAUAUAAUUUUAAAAGUUACUCAUUAACUGCCUAAAAUUGAAAUGCAAAAAAUCAUGAACUACUUAAACUAAUAGUCAUUAAUUUGUCUAAUGCUAAUGUAGACGAAUUCGUGGUUCACAUUUCUUCCUUUAUGGCCUUUGUCGAACAACACUAUUGUAAAAUUUUUAUACAUUUCCCAACACACCCAACAGGAUCACGGGAGAACUAGAAAUAUGGAAUGCAUAAGUUGCUUAUUUGAGAAUUGAGAUGUAGUAGUCUGAUAAUGAUUGAAGAAAAGUUAAUCGUUAUAUAGAAAUAUUUUCAAUAUAAUUGAAUUGAUGGAUUGACAAACAACAUCGAUAUUAUUGUAAUGUCUUCUUUGACAGGGCGUAUUUGGAAUAAUUAGUUUUCAACAUAAACAACCAACUCUGUUCACUUAAUUCAUAUUGACUACACUAUAAUAUCCUGAUCUUUGUUCUUAAUCUAUUGUAACAUGGAGAUUUGACACGCUUAUCCAAUAACUGAGUGGGUUAGGUCUUGUAUGCCCAUGUGGACUAUACUGGAAGAAAAAUAUUACAACUAAUUUAUAUUGUACAUCUUUUCAUAUCAAAUAAAGAAAUAUUACAACUAAUUUUAAUUUUUUUCAAAAAAAUAUAUGUUGCAAUUGAAAAAGAAUAAGGAAGUAUUAAUGAUGAGUGGAUUUUUCUUGAUAAAUAAUUGGUACAAUAUUAUAAAUAGCAUCUAAAGAGUUAACUAUAAUAUAGAUUUAUCUUACAUAAAUUUGCAUAAAUGCCCUUACUAUAUUUCUUUUUUGUAUAUUUGCAAGCUAAUCCUUCCCAUCAACCAUUGUGCGGGCUCUUAAAGAACAAUUAAAUCACCAUGAGCCACAUGCCCGCACUCGCGAAUUUGGGUAUUAUUUGUAUGUUAUAAUAAGAUGUUCUAUUAAGCUAAUAGCAAGAUACGUGAAAAAAUACAUUAUCAUAGUCCAUAGAUCAGCUGGAUCAUACCAAUAAAGAGGAAUCCCGACUCAUGAUCGGCCAAAGGGAGAUCUACUCCAUUAUGUGUCAGCCACUAUGCAAUGCUAUGCCAAGAUCACAAUCUUGGAGAUUUUGGCACCACAGAGACAAUUUUUGCUCGUUCGGGGACGGACUGUCGUAGCUAAACAAGAUUCCAACAAGCCAAAUUAAUUUGUAUCCAAACUCCAAAUGAUGCAUAUGUUAUUAAUUAGUCUGUAUCCAAAUUAUGCAUAUGUUACUCCUUAUUAGUCCGACAUUACCCAGAUGGCCAGAUAGUGACAUGAUGAUGCAAGUGCAUGGCAGGCGAAGGUUAUAUACUAAUGAAUUAUAUUCCGAAUGUAGAUACCACUGGAUAUGAUACAAACGUAAACAUCUCAAUGAACGUGUACGCAACACAUAUACAAGUAGUAAUCUAUGUCCGCGGCGCUAAGCUAAGGCGCUCAAAGAUGAAAUGUAUCUGAAUCUGAGAGGCAGCAAGUUGAAGUCCCUCUUAUGAAGCCAAUAAAAUUACUAUGUAUUCCACUCUUUGUGGCAAGCCCACUUGUCAUAAUUAUCGCUCCUUAUAUUGAUGUUGUUGUCCUUCAUUGCACCUCGACCGAAAGUCCGGAUAUUUGCUUCUUUGUUCUAACUUCUUAUGGCCUCGUUGUCGUUCUCCUUCUUCCUUGCUUCUUUGACUUUUAAUUUCUCUGCGCUAAUAGUAGUGUUCGUCCAACCCAUCACAUAGAGGAGAGAUGAUAAAUCUAUAACAGUGAGGGGGCAGCUUGCCCUCUCACAAGACAUGACAAUAAAGUCGUUGUUCCGAGUAUCGAUUUUAGUCUAUUAAAUCAUUAUUUUAAGGAAAAUUUGCACAAAACCACCUUAAGUUUUCACUUAUUUAGAAACUCCCACCUUUAUGUUUUUUUCCCAAAAUUUCCACCUAAACUUUACAAAACCUUUAUAAACUCCCACCACUUAACGGAUUUUGCCAAACUCCGUUAGUGGUGGGACCCACAUCAAUUAUUUCUUUGUUUUUCCCUCCAAGCAACUCACUUCCCUCAUUCAUCUCUACAAAAAUGUUGUUUGGAACCCAGAAAUUUACCCAGAUUUCAAGAGAAAUGAAUGAAGAGAGAGAGAAUGGAAAAAAAAGGGAGAACUUAGGGUCUGUUCUCUUCGGCAUAAAACAACUGAACUGAAUUGAACUGAUCUGAAUUGAUCUGAACUGAACUGAACUGAAUUUAAUUGAACUGAACUGAAAUGAAUCGUGAUAUGUGAGAGUAAAAGUAUUGUCAAGAGCUGAACUGAACUGAUCUGAAUUGAACUGAUCUGAACUGAACUGAAUUGAACUGAACUGAACUGAAUUGAACUGAACUGAACUGAACUGAACUGAAAAUAAGCUGGGGAGAACCGGCCCUUAAUGGUGGGAAGAGGAAGACGACAUCAUUUUUGGAGAGAUGAAUGAGGCAAGUGAGUUGUUUGGAGGGAAAAACAAAAGAAAUAAUCGAUGUGGGUCCAACUACUAAUGGAGUUUGGCAAAACCCGUUUAAGUGGUGGGAGUUUAUAAAGGUUUUGUAAAGUUUAGGUGGAAAUUUAGGGAAAAAAAAACAUAAAGGUGGGAGUUUCUAAAUAAGUGAAAAUUUAAAGUGAUUUUAUGCAAAUAAUAGCAACUUUACUAUUCAUGUGAGAGGUCAGAGGGUAGCAUGCCCUCUAAUGGUUAGAGAUUUAUUAUCCCUUAGAAAUAAAUCAUCAAUCUUACAUAUUCGUUUCUUUUUAUUUUUCUUUUUCUGAAUGUCUCGAUGAGUAAACCUAAAUUUUGGCCUUAAUUUCUCAUCAAUAUAUAAGAAAUAUUAUGUUUAUGUGAGACUUUAUUAAGUACUUUCCACUUUCAUAGCUUUUCAUAACUUUAAAUUAUAAAUAAUAAUUAAAGAUAUUGAUGAUUCAAUAAUACUAUGUAUCAACCACUUAUUGAGAAAAGGAAUUGUGUAAGGUGAUCUUUUUACCUUCACGAGUCAAUCCCUACCUAAAAUGUUGCAGCCCAUAUCAUUUAUAUUUAGAAACACAACCCUAAAUUAAUUGGGUUAUUCCCAUGUCUUGAGUUUGGGCCCUAAGCAGAAGAGAGAAGUGAGAAUAGUCCAAUAGGCCAAAAUCAAUACUAGACAUUAGAGUUGUUAAUCCAAUAUUGUCUUAAUUCCUAUAUUAAUCCAAAUCAAUUAUAAAUCUAUACAAAUAUAUUAAAAGGUGUGCAUAAACAAGAAAUUAUGCCACGUGGCACUCUUCCUAAGGAGUUUUUGUCAAUGAAAAAAAUUUAGACAUUACAUAGUAUAAGGUUUGAUCCCGAGACCUCCAGUACAUAUACUUAAGUCUUAACCACUAGACUAAGUUGUAUUUAGUAUUAAUAUCAUAAAGUAUUAUAUUAAUAAAUGAAAUUGUUUCUUACCCGGGGAAUAGUCCGGACCUAUAACUAGUUUUAAACCCAAAAUCCAUCCCAUUCUUUAUUAUUUUGUGAUAAGUUCAAUCUUCUAUCUCUUUAUAUGGUUAAUGGUAGAUAAUGAACAAAUGUAAACAAGGAAAAUUUCAAUCAGACUUACAUUAUAAUUCUACAACGAACUCACAAGUAAAAUUAGGAAAGUCCUUCAACCACAUAAACUUGAGAGUUCACGAAGUCAAUAUUGGCAUACUAUGUGGAAUGUGCUACAAUAUUUUUCUCUCAGAUACUAUGUGCCAUAACUAAAAGGUACAUUGUCACGUACAGAUUUACACGCAUGAUGCAUCUGAAUCCACAAUUCAAACCAAUUUCGGUACCGAAGAAUAGUACUCUUGUCAAGAAUAGUACUCUUGUCUCCCCUAAUUCCAGAAAAACCCCCCCACAGCGAGUUAACUAUCUAGUAAGGACUUAAAGUAUGAGAGUUUUUUCCAACAAGGACCUGAACAAUUUUUUGAUCUACUAAGGACCUCAUAUCUACUAUGGUUACAUUUUCCAUCCAAUAUUAUUAACUUUGUUUCCUUUUUGUUUUAAAAAAUUGAAAUGGCCCCACCAACUCAAUUAUUCUUUAUCUCUUUCCAUAUUCCUCUUAAUUUGACUUUAAUUUUUUUUUCCAUAAAACUAUGAGUAUUUUUAUCAAAUUGGUACUUUAAGAUACAUUAUUUAAUCACAUGAACAUAUUUUAAAAAAUUAUCACAUGUGUGUAUUUUCAAAGAUUUUCUUUAAUCAUAUGAGUAUUUCUUAAAAUUUGGACUACUUAUAAGUAUUUAAUAAAUCUUCAUUGACCAUAUAAGCCCUUUAGCUAAUGUUAUAUAUUCACCUUUAUUUACAUCUUAUAUAUUCUUAGAGUAAUUGUCUCAGAAUAACUCUAAAGAAUCGAUAAUUAUAUCUCUCUCAAUUCUUUACCCUUUGGUAAUUACUGUGAGAAGUUAUAUUUUAAAAUACUCAUUUGGUAAUUACUAAUCAGACCCUACACAACCGUCCAACCCUUUGUGUCUCUCUUAAAAUAUAUCAUGUUUGUGUAGGUCGUAGCUCUCAUCCACCAUCUUUACAAAUCCAAAAUAUAUCCUAAAAGUUAAAAUUCUUUUCCUCUUUAUAGCCUAAUUUUUUCCAUUGAUAGUGCAAAUUUUAAAAUGUAUCCUCUCGCAAUGUGGGCAUUUUUAAAAAAUGGUGAUACUGGUAUAACAGUAUUUUUCAAAAUUUUAUCUUUUUUUUUAAAAGAUACAAGUAAAGUUUAGGGAACUCUUCUUUCAAGAGUAUACCCUAAACUAUCUAAAGUAACUAAAUAAUUGAAAAACAUAUCGGACUGAACAUCAACUAAUUGAGAUGGAUUUUGGAGAUGGUGCCCAAUCUUUGAGAGGUAAUCUGCAACCCGAUUGGCUUCCCGAUAGACGUGAACAAUUGUAACCUUCCUGUAAUACCCCGAAUUUUCAAACGAUUAUUUUAUUAUUUAUUAAAGUUUCAUAUUAUUUCCACUUAUAAUUUAUUUUACAAUAAUGCGAUUUUAUUUGAUAACUAUGUUUAUUAAAAUAAUGAUUUCAUUUAUUUUGAGUUAUUUAACAAGUUUCAAUUAAAUCAUUUUAUUAUUCAUUUUAUUAUUCUAAUUUAUCAAAUUUCAUAAAUUAGUUAUGGAUACUUUUGUCCAUCCAUUAGUAAUCCAAGCCCAAACAUUAGUCCAAGUCCAUGUGUCUUUUACCAAAAAGAAAAGUUAAAACAAAAACAAAUAAAUAAAAUAAAAAAGGGAAAAAGAAGUGAAAAUCUAAUUCACCAUCUUCUUCCCUCCUUUCUUCUUCCCUCGUCUGACUCAACAGCUCACAAAAACCAAAUUGUCAACAUUCAACUCUUGUCAGUAGAACUUGAAUAUCAGUCCACAAAAUCAGAUUUUUGGGGUAAAAAUUCAAAGGCUACUCUCUCACCUCACUUCCUCCAUUAAUGGAGAUUUGACCAAGCUUCUCAAACCAGAAAAUUUUGUCUAUAAAUAGCAACCAAACACACUCAAUUGCUCAAGCAAACAAAACUCCAAAGGUUUGCUUCAAUCAUUUCUUUCUUCCUAAAUUUCUGAUUUUUUGAUUUUGAAAUCUAAAAUAAAAUUGAAACCCACCAUUAUCAACCUCCUUUGCUUCACUUCGAACCACCACAUCACCGGAAAAACUGAACCACCAAAUGAACCCCCCCUGAAUCCCGCCGGUAAACCACCACACCAAAACUGCACGACCACCUUUGAACCACCACAACAAACAAGUCGAACCACCAGCAAAACCCUUCGCUACCCUCUUUUCGCGGCGCCUCUGCUGCGUCGCAACCCACGCCCAACCGCCUGACCACCGUACUUCGCCGUCGAACCAAACCACCGGCGCCACUUUUCUCCCUCACCAUCUCCCCUGUUUCGCCCUUCUUUCGCCCCCUCCUUCCCUCUGUUCUGUUUUUCAAAAAAAUGAAGAAACUGAUUUUGUUUCUUUUAAAAACCCUCUUUUCUUUUACCUUUUAGUUUAAUUGUAUUUUACUUACUCUUUUUUUAAAACAAGAUUAAUAACUUUCGUAAACUAGCUCACUUAAUUAAGUUAGUAUGUUUAAAACGAUUUCUAAAAUAAUUCGAAAAUCGUAAAACUCUCUUAAACUAAUUAUGAAUUUCCUUUAAGUUAUUUGAAUCAUUUAAAUCGUUUAUUUUAUGUACGUAUAUAAAAAGGGGUUACUUAGGAACUAACUUAGAUCUCGUUAAUAUUUAUUGUAGACUCCGAUUUCGUAGACGAGGAUUAUCAAGAGCGCUAACCUGUUCGUAAACUUAACUUUUGGGCACGCGUCACGAGGUAGCUUAUGCAAUACGUUUAUACACGAUCUAGAGGAAGACGUCAGGAAAACCAAAUGGCCGAAACUCCGGAACAAGUCGCAGCACGACUUAGGACCCUCGAGCAAUUAGCUCAAAACUUCGGAUUAGUUCUUCAAAACCAACUGAACAACAACCACCAUGGGGAUGAUCCGCAAGCCGCAAUGGCAAAAAGAUUUCCUCUUUGAAACCACCAACCUUUGUUGGUAGAGAAGACCCAUUGCUUCUCGAAAAUUGGAUAAGAGACUUCGAAAAGAUUUUCACGGCCACGGGUACGCCUGAGGCCCAGAAAGUAGACCAAGCGACCUUUUAUUUGCACGAGGACGCUGAUACUUGGUGGGAAAGUGUAGGACCAAUCGUUAAAGCUCAAGAGAACUUUAACUGGGAAGCGUUUAAGAUAGCGAUUAAGGCUCGAUUCUUCCCCGAGCACAUUCGUAGGCAGAAGUACAAUGAGUUUAGUGAGUUCAAUCAGAGCUAUACCAUGAGUGUGCAAGAGUACGCUCAGAAAUUCAAUGAGUAUGCUCGCUUCUGUCCAACCGUAGUUCCAGAUGAGGGAACUAAGGCUCAAAAGUUUGAGGACGGACUUAAGUUCGAUCUUCAGACUCGUAUGGGAGGUAGUACCUCAACUACUUUCGCGGAGGCGUAUGCUAAGCCUCAAACUUAGAGAGAAUUCUG